CUACGGGAGGCUCCAGUGGGGAAUAUUGGACAAUGGGCGGAAGCCUGAUCCAGCCAUGCCGCGUGUGUGAAGAAGGCCUUUUGGUUGUAAAGCACUUUAAGCGAGGAGGAGGCUCCUUUAGUUAAUACCUAAAGAGAGUGGACGUUACUCGCAGAAUAAGCACCGGCUAACUCUGUGCCAGCAGCCGCGGUAAUACAGAGGGUGCGAGCGUUAAUCGGAUUUACUGGGCGUAAAGCGUGCGUAGGCGGCUUUUUAAGUCGGAUGUGAAAUCCCUGAGCUUAACUUAGGAAUUGCAUUCGAUACUGGAAAGCUAGAGUAUGGGAGAGGAUGGUAGAAUUCCAGGUGUAGCGGUGAAAUGCGUAGAGAUCUGGAGGAAUACCGAUGGCGAAGGCAGCCAUCUGGCCUAAUACUGACGCUGAGGUACGAAAGCAUGGGGAGCAAACAGGAUUAGAUACCCUUGUAGUC
RNAcentral lists this ribosomal RNA (465 nucleotides) under uncultured bacterium. RNAcentral's name for it is "partial 16S ribosomal RNA". It matches the Rfam family "Bacterial small subunit ribosomal RNA", at positions 339 to 795 of the family's 1533-position model. The record is from RNAcentral.